AUCCAUUCUCGGCCUUUUGGCUAAGAUCAAAGUCUAGUAUUUGUUCUUUUCAGAUUAAUAUCUGAAAGUUUUCUCAUGGGGGAGUACCAGCAUAUAUUAAACUGUUUUUUGUAAUCCUACGGGAUGUUCGGGUCUCGGCUCCACUACCGUCACGGGUUAGCUCGGCAUUGUAUCCGGGAUUGGCCUACAUAAU
Molecule: small nuclear RNA, 193 nt
Organism: Achroia grisella
Lineage: Eukaryota; Metazoa; Arthropoda; Insecta; Lepidoptera; Pyralidae
Product: U2 spliceosomal RNA
Exons: 1
Source: RefSeq, a predicted model, not a curated record